This 550-nucleotide ribosomal RNA is filed under the name uncultured bacterium. RNAcentral's name for it is "bacterial SSU rRNA". It matches the Rfam family "Bacterial small subunit ribosomal RNA", at positions 355 to 896 of the family's 1533-position model. The record is from RNAcentral.
UAGGGAAUCUUCGGCAAUGGACGGAAGUCUGACCGAGCAACGCCGCGUGAGUGAAGAAGGUUUUCGGAUCGUAAAGCUCUGUUGUAAGAGAAGAACGAGUGUGAGAGUGGAAAGUUCACACUGUGACGGUAUCUUACCAGAAAGGGACGGCUAACCACGUGCCAGCAGCCGCGGUAAUACGUAGGUCCCGAGCGUUGUCCGGAUUUAUUGGGCGUAAAGCGAGCGCAGGCGGUUAGAUAAGUCUGAAGUUAAAGGCUGUGGCUUAACCAUAGUACGCUUUGGAAACUGUUUAACUUGAGUGCAAGAGGGGAGAGUGGAAUUCCAUGUGUAGCGGUGAAAUGCGUAGAUAUAUGGAGGAACACCGGUGGCGAAAGCGGCUCUCUGGCUUGUAACUGACGCUGAGGCUCGAAAGCGUGGGGAGCAAACAGGAUUAGAUACCCUGGUAGUCCACGCCGUAAACGAUGAGUGCUAGGUGUUAGACCCUUUCCGGGGUUUAGUGCCGCAGCUAACGCAUUAAGCACUCCGCCUGGGGAGUACGACCGCAAGGUUG